UACGUAGGGGGCAAGCGUUGUCCGGAUUUAUUGGGCGUAAAGAGCGUGUAGGCGGCCAUGCAGGUCCGUUGUGAAAACUCGAGGCUCAACCUCGAGACGCCGGUGGAAACCGUAUGGCUAGAGUCCGGAAGAGGAGAGUGGAAUUCCUGGUGUAGCGGUGAAAUGCGCAGAUAUCAGGAAGAACACCCGUGGCGAAGGCGGCUCACUGGACCGGUACUGACGCUGAUGCGCGAAAGCGUGGGGAGCAAACGGG
This 253-nucleotide ribosomal RNA is filed under the name uncultured bacterium. Its description in RNAcentral is "partial 16S ribosomal RNA". It matches the Rfam family "Bacterial small subunit ribosomal RNA", at positions 524 to 776 of the family's 1533-position model. The record is from RNAcentral.